RNAcentral lists this ribosomal RNA (270 nucleotides) under uncultured Metallosphaera sp. Its description in RNAcentral is "partial 16S ribosomal RNA". It matches the Rfam family "Archaeal small subunit ribosomal RNA", at positions 922 to 1194 of the family's 1478-position model. Lineage: Archaea; Thermoproteati; Thermoproteota; Thermoprotei; Sulfolobales; Sulfolobaceae. The record is from RNAcentral.
GAUCUCCCGGGGGAGACGCAGGAUGACGGCCAGGCUAACGACCUUGCCAGACUCGCGGAGAGGAGGUGCAUGGCCGUCGCCAGCUCGUGUUGUGAAAUGUCCGGUUAAGUCCGGCAACGAGCGAGACCCCCACUUCUAGUUGGUAGCCGUCCCUCCGGGGAUGGCCCACACUAGAAGGACUGCCGGUGUUAAACCGGAGGAAAGGAGGGGGCCACGGCAGGUCAGCAUGCCCCGAAACCUCCGGGCCGCACGCGGGUUACAAUGGCAGGG